Molecule: ribosomal RNA, 808 nt
Filed under: Verrucomicrobiota bacterium
Lineage: Bacteria; Pseudomonadati; Verrucomicrobiota
Description: bacterial SSU rRNA
Rfam family: Bacterial small subunit ribosomal RNA
Source: RNAcentral
ACGGAGAGUUUGAUUCUGGCUCAGAACGAACGCUGGCGGCGUGGAUAAGACAUGCAAGUCGAGCGAGAUUUUUUCCUGUAGCAAUACAGGGAAACGUCUAGCGGCGAACGGGUGCUUAACACGUGGGCAAUCUGCCAAGAAGUGGGGGAUAGCUCGCCGAAAGGCGAAUUAAUACCGCAUGUGAUCAGAGUGGACAUCCAUUCGAAAUCAAAGUCGGGGCAACCUGACGCUUUUUGAGGAGCCCGCGGCCUAUCAGCUAGUUGGUGAGGUAACGGCCCACCAAGGCUUAGACGGGUAGCUGGUCUGAGAGGACGACCAGCCACACUGGGACUGAGACACGGCCCAGACACCUACGGGUGGCAGCAGUCGAGAAUUUUUCUCAAUGGGGGAAACCCUGAAGGAGCGACGCCGCGUGGAGGAUGAAGGUCUUCGGAUUGUAAACUCCUGUCAUUGGGGAACAAUGCGUAAAUAUUAACUGUAUUUGCGUUGAUAGUACCCGAAGAGGAAGAGACGGCUAACUCUGUGCCAGCAGCCGCGGUAAUACAGAGGUCUCAAGCGUUGUUCGGAUUCAUUGGGCGUAAAGGGUGCGUAGGCGGCGCGGUAAGUCGGGUGUGAAAUCUCGGAGCUUAACUCCGAAACUGCAUUCGAUACUGCCGUGCUUGAGGACUGGAGAGGAGACUGGAAUUUACGGUGUAGCGGUGAAAUGCGUAGAUAUCGUAAGGAAGACCAGUGGCGAAGGCGGGUCUCUGGACAGUUCCUGACGCUGAGGCACGAAGGCCAGGGGAGCAAACGGGAUUAGAUACCCCGG